This 594-nucleotide ribosomal RNA is filed under the name Coleoptera sp. UPOL MT0078. RNAcentral describes it as "partial 16S ribosomal RNA". It matches the Rfam family "Archaeal large subunit ribosomal RNA", at positions 1930 to 2786 of the family's 2987-position model. Lineage: Eukaryota; Metazoa; Arthropoda; Insecta; Coleoptera. The record is from RNAcentral.
GGAUUUAAUUUAAGGUCUGGUCUGCUCAAUGAUUAAUUAAAUUGCCGCAGUAUUUUGACUGUGCAAAGGUAGCAUAAUAAUUAGUUUCUUGAUUAGAAACUGGAAUGAAUGAUUGGACGAGAAAAUUACUGUCUCUUAUAGAUUGUUUAUUGAAUUUUAUUUUUAAGUUAAAAAGCUUAAAUUUUAAUAAAAGACGAGAAGACCCUAUAGAGUUUAAUAUCUAAUGUUUAUAAGAUUUUGGAAAAUUUUUUAAAUUUUAAAUAUUUAGUUGGGGUGACUUAUGGAUUAAAAUAAUUCCUUAAUUAUUAAAUUGUUGAUAAAUAAUUAAUAAAUCUAGUUUUUUAAAUUUAAAAUUAAUUACCUUAGGGAUAACAGCGUAAUUUUUCUUUAAAGUUCUUAUUGAAAGAAGAUUUUGCGACCUCGAUGUUGGAUUAAAAUUAAUUUUUGGUGCAGUAACUUAAAAAUUAGGUCUGUUCGACCUUUAAAAUUUUACAUGAUCUGAGUUUAAACCGGUGUAAGCCAGGUUGGAUUCUAUCUUUAGUUUAAGAAUAUAUUUUAGUACGAAAGGACCGGGUAUAUAUUAUAUUAUAAUUA